AAAAGCAGACUGGAGGAAUUGAGUGGCUUCCAUUAGAGGUUUUGCAGCAUUUUCCAGAGAGGAGGGAGGAGGACAAAAUGGAUUAAGAUUGAGAAAUGCACAGAAGUACAAAUUAUUAUUAUUAGUUGUAGUAUUAUAAAUACAGGGCGAAAUUAAUAGAAGGCAAUGCGACUGACGUCUGGAAAGGAUGGAGGGAGGGUGGAGGGGUGGUGGUUGGGGGGACCCUAGUGCUGCAUAUGAAUGGGUGCCGCUCAAAUUCCCAGGGAUUAUUGGAGGGAAAAAAGAAGAGGACGGAAACACGGGGUCCGCGGUUCCUUGGAUCGGGGCAAAAUGGGAAUCCAUGCUUAUGAUGUUAGAAGCGUUCUGCAUCCUAAACUUUAUGAUCUAAAAGGUUCCGGAAUCAUCGUCAUCACAGGACACAUUUACGGCAUUGUCCUUUGUGGGUCUUUUUGCGGUCUGGGCUUGCUGUUCCUAAGGAAGUAGCCAGGAAGCCCUUACCCCAAAAAGUAUCUUCAGUGGAUUCUGGCAUCUGCAUUGGCUUUUCCUCUCUUGCUGAUGGAAUUUGCCACUGAAAUUCUCUGUGAUGGAAACUCAUCAAAGGCUUGGCAAAAAGGGGCACCACUUUUAGUUAUCUGUAAAAUGCUGUGAAGGGAUUUUGAAGGAAAAAUGCCAGAGGUUUCAAUGACUGGUGUGGCAGAAAAUUUUAGUCUGUGUUGGAAAAUCCCUGUAAAUAUCACCUGAUUAAUCUAAAAAACAAUCAAGUCAGCUGUUAUUACAUCACCUUAAGGUUUAAAAGUGCAAAGCUAACAAUCCUGUAGUGAAAACUAAUCAAUUUUUGGCGUGCAAAAUCAGGUGGGACUCAGAUUGUACAUUGAUCAGUUAAUUACUUGCCUUUUUUAUGGUGCAGUUUGGUAAAAUCUAAAUUUCUUUAUUAUCUAAAAAGGUCAAAUAAUUUCAUUUUUUAAGAAAGAUGUCUGAUUCCUAUGAAUUCACUUCAAAGCUCUUGCUGCAAGUGUCUAUGUAUUUUCAUUUUUUGGGACCAAAACCCUCUUUUAUACACAAAUAAUGCUCUACUCCUAACCAUACGUGGCCUGACAUUCAUAGAACCACCUAUUGAAAGUGCGUAGACCGGAUGCACCCGCUGAAUGAAUAAUCUGAGAGAAAAUGGAUGUGUAGCUUCAAGCCUUUGAUGACCUACGUGUUACAUAAACGUGAUUAUUCCCCCAAACCCAUGAACUCCCACAAUGGAGUUUAUGUACAUCAAUACCAGAGGCAUUUUCGUGCCCUGACGAAGACGAAGACGUCAUUGCUCAGUGUUGUGUUCACCAAAGAGGGUCUUUGCUGCACAGAAACCAUCAGACAUGUAGUUUUAAGUUACAUUAGUGACAUACUUUUGUCUUUUUUUUCUUGAGUUUCUAGUCAAUACAGAAAAUUUCUAGAGCUGCUUUUUAGUUUAGUGUGCUUUUUAGUAUUGCUCUGCCAAACAAUGAAUACUUGUAUGCAAAUCUUCAUUUUACAAAGAAAUCUUUAACCAAAUGAGGUCAGCGUUUGUUUUUUUUACUGGAUUGCUCCAUUUGUGCAUUUUUUUAUAAACUGUAACGAAACCAUAAACAAGAUAUUUUGCUCCAAAAAGAAGCAAAUGUGUGAAAAGUAAAGCCUAAAAAUGCAACUCUACACACACCGUCAACAUCUUCCUCAUUCUUCCGUUUUUUGUGGUCUUAAGGAGCUGCAUCCACCUGUCCCAUGCUAAAUCAGCCAUACUUCCUCCCCCAGUGGUUGAUAUAAAAAAAGAUUCAGCAGGUUUUUAGUAUGAUUGCCCCCUCCUACACCCAUCAAGUUAGCAAACAAGUCCCUUUACCGUUGUGUAGAUAGGAAGUAGAUAUUCCCAGUUAAACUGUGGCACAAUUUGUGUGUCACAUGUUGCCCUAGGAAAUAGGGCAGUGCCUCAUCCCUGUCAUCAGGCAGGCAUGCGGGGCAGUGGAUGUAGUUUUGCUCCUCUUCUGCUUGUAAUAGAGUAAAUUAUUGGAAAAAAAGAUUGAAACUUAAUGGUCUCAAUAUUUAAGUCCAUAUUGAAUUUAUGGGUGUUGACCAAACAAUAAUCUUCUUUCAAUAAAUUGCUUUUAUUGUAUGAUUUUAUGCCUAAAUGCUUCAUGUUAGUGACAAUUUCUUGAUUACACAUGAAAAAAUUUGUAAGAUUUCCCUUCUGAUUCAUGACAAAUAAAGAUUGAUUGUACAAAAAAGUCAAAGAGAUUUUAUUUCACCAAAAAAAUGUAAAAGAAAAUAAGUACAAUUCCUUUAUAUUUGGAAAAAUAUGAAACCUAUUGACGAGAUCGUUUAAGGUUUGACAGCAAGUUACUGAAAAAAGAUGCGCAAUGCAAUGAUGGGAACUGAGCAUCUAAAACUGCAGUGUCUCCAACGGUAAAUCUUUGGGUGAGCAUAGCCCUCUAGAGGUAUUUUUAGGAACCGCAGCUUAUAAUGUGCAAGACUGCGCCACUGCAAAAAGAAACAUGGUCAUGAAGCAGAAUAACAACAUCCAGGCCUCUGUUAAGUUUACAGCUUCCGACUGAAAACAGAAUGUUAUUGGUAACAGAUGUUGGUCCCCUUCAUGUGACGCAUGCGGCCCCAAAGAUUACGGUAAAGCAUCGCUUGUCUGUUAGUGAUUAUAUGCUUGGUCAGUCUGAGAAAAUACAAAUUUUUUGGGGGUAACUUUUUUUCCCCCUUCUGUUUUACAGUUCACUUAGCUCAGCUGUGCAUUCACUUGUUUUUUUUUACGUUGCUUAUUUUUCUUGCAUGUGAAAAUAAAACCCGUUCAAGCACA
Molecule: non-coding RNA, 2818 nt
Organism: Oryzias latipes (Japanese medaka)
Lineage: Eukaryota; Metazoa; Chordata; Actinopteri; Beloniformes; Adrianichthyidae
Source: RefSeq, a predicted model, not a curated record